CAACCUGCCCACCACUUGGGGAUAACCUUGCGAAAGUAAGACUAAUACCCAAUGAUAUCUCUAGAAGACAUCUGAAAGAGAUUAAAGAUUUAUCGGUGAUGGAUGGGGAUGCGUCUGAUUAGCUUGUUGGCGGGGUAACGGCCCACCAAGGCAACGAUCAGUAGGGGUUCUGAGAGGAAGGUCCCCCACAUUGGAACUGAGACACGGUCCAAACUCCUACGGGAGGCAGCAGUGAGGAAUAUUGGUCAAUGGACGAGAGUCUGAACCAGCCAAGUAGCGUGCAGGAUGACGGCCCUAUGGGUUGUAAACUGCUUUUAUAAGGGAAUAAAGUGAGUCUCGUGAGACUUUUUGCAUGUACCUUAUGAAUAAGGACCGGCUAAUUCCGUGCCAGCAGCCGCGGUAAUACGGAAGGUCCGGGUGUUAUCCGGAUUUAUUGGGUUUAAAGGGAGCGUAGGCCGGAGAUUAAGCGUGUUGUGAAAUGUAGACGCUCAACGUCUGCACUGCAGCGCGAACUGGUUUCCUUGAGUACGCACAAAGUGGGCGGAAUUCGUGGUGUAGCGGUGAAAUGCUUAGAUAUCACGAAGAACUCCGAUUG
RNAcentral lists this ribosomal RNA (595 nucleotides) under uncultured Bacteroidota bacterium. Its description in RNAcentral is "bacterial SSU rRNA". It matches the Rfam family "Bacterial small subunit ribosomal RNA", at positions 122 to 715 of the family's 1533-position model. The record is from RNAcentral. Lineage: Bacteria; Pseudomonadati; Bacteroidota.